GACGAACGCUGGCGGCGUGCUUAACACAUGCAAGUCGAACGGACAGACAGAGAGCUUGCUCUCUUGAAGUUAGUGGCGAACGGGUGAGUAACGCGUAAUCAACCCGCCCUUCAGAGGGGGAUAACAACGGGAAACCGUUGCUAAUACCGCGUACGAUUCAUGAACGGCAUCGUUUAUGAAUGAAAGGUGGCCUCUAUGUAUAAGCUAUCGCUGAAGGAGGGGAUUGCGUCUGAUUAGCUGGUUGGAGGGGUAACGGCCCGCCAAGGCAAUGAUAAGUAGCCGGUCUGAGAGGAUGAACGGCCACAUUAGGACUGAGACACGGCCCAAACGCCUACGGGAGGCAGCAGUGGGGAAUCUUCCGCAAUGGACGAAAGUCUGACGGAGCAACGCCGCGUGAGUGAUGAAGGUCUUCGGAUUGUAAAGCUCUGUUAAUCGGGACGAAAGAGUUCUGCGUGAAUAAUGCAGAAAAGUGACGGUACCGGAAUAGAAAGCCACGGCUAACUACGUGCCAGCCGCCGCCGUAA
This 524-nucleotide ribosomal RNA is filed under the name uncultured bacterium. RNAcentral's name for it is "partial 16S ribosomal RNA". It matches the Rfam family "Bacterial small subunit ribosomal RNA", at positions 28 to 523 of the family's 1533-position model. The record is from RNAcentral.